RNAcentral lists this ribosomal RNA (508 nucleotides) under uncultured bacterium. RNAcentral describes it as "partial 16S ribosomal RNA". It matches the Rfam family "Bacterial small subunit ribosomal RNA", at positions 28 to 507 of the family's 1533-position model. The record is from RNAcentral.
GACGAACGCUGGCGGCGUACCUAAUACAUGCAAGUCGAACGCUUCUUUCCUCCCGAGUGCUUGCACUCAAUUGGAAAGAGGAGUGGCGGACGGGUGAGUAACACGUGGGUAACCUACCCAUCAGAGGGGGAUAACACUUGGAAACAGGUGCUAAUACCGCAUAACAGUUUAUGCCGCAUGGCAUAAGAGUGAAAGGCGCUUUCGGGUGUCGCUGAUGGAUGGACCCGCGGUGCAUUAGCUAGUUGGUGAGGUAACGGCUCACCAAGGCCACGAUGCAUAGCCGACCUGAGAGGGUGAUCGGCCACACUGGGACUGAGACACGGCCCAGACUCCUACGGGAGGCAGCAGUAGGGAAUCUUCGGCAAUGGACGAAAGUCUGACCGAGCAACGCCGCGUGAGUGAAGAAGGUUUUCGGAUCGUAAAACUCUGUUGUUAGAGAAGAACAAGGACGUUAGUAACUGAACGUCCCCUGACGGUAUCUAACCAGAAAGCCACGGCUAACUACGUG